RNAcentral lists this ribosomal RNA (1210 nucleotides) under Arthrobacter sp. Its description in RNAcentral is "bacterial SSU rRNA". It matches the Rfam family "Bacterial small subunit ribosomal RNA", at positions 103 to 1324 of the family's 1533-position model. The record is from RNAcentral. Lineage: Bacteria; Bacillati; Actinomycetota; Actinomycetes; Micrococcales; Micrococcaceae.
CGGGUGAGUAACACGUGAGUAACCUGCCCUUAACUCUGGGAUAAGCCUGGGAAACUGGGUCUAAUACCGGAUAUGACUCCUCAUCGCAUGGUGGGGGGUGGAAAGCUUUAUUGUGGUUUUGGAUGGACUCGCGGCCUAUCAGCUUGUUGGUGAGGUAAUGGCUCACCAAGGCGACGACGGGUAGCCGGCCUGAGAGGGUGACCGGCCACACUGGGACUGAGACACGGCCCAGACUCCUACGGGAGGCAGCAGUGGGGAAUAUUGCACAAUGGGCGCAAGCCUGAUGCAGCGACGCCGCGUGAGGGAUGACGGCCUUCGGGUUGUAAACCUCUUUCAGUAGGGAAGAAGCGAAAGUGACGGUACCUGCAGAAGAAGCGCCGGCUAACUACGUGCCAGCAGCCGCGGUAAUACGUAGGGCGCAAGCGUUAUCCGGAAUUAUUGGGCGUAAAGAGCUCGUAGGCGGUUUGUCGCGUCUGCCGUGAAAGUCCGGGGCUCAACUCCGGAUCUGCGGUGGGUACGGGCAGACUAGAGUGAUGUAGGGGAGACUGGAAUUCCUGGUGUAGCGGUGAAAUGCGCAGAUAUCAGGAGGAACACCGAUGGCGAAGGCAGGUCUCUGGGCAUUAACUGACGCUGAGGAGCGAAAGCAUGGGGAGCGAACAGGAUUAGAUACCCUGGUAGUCCAUGCCGUAAACGUUGGGCACUAGGUGUGGGGGACAUUCCACGUUUUCCGCGCCGUAGCUAACGCAUUAAGUGCCCCGCCUGGGGAGUACGGCCGCAAGGCUAAAACUCAAAGGAAUUGACGGGGGCCCGCACAAGCGGCGGAGCAUGCGGAUUAAUUCGAUGCAACGCGAAGAACCUUACCAAGGCUUGACAUGAACCGGUAAUACCUGGAAACAGGUGCCCCGCUUGCGGUCGGUUCACAGGUGGUGCAUGGUUGUCGUCAGCUCGUGUCGUGAGAUGUUGGGUUAAGUCCCGCAACGAGCGCAACCCUCGUUCCAUGUUGCCAGCGCGUAAUGGCGGGGACUCAUGGGAGACUGCCGGGGUCAACUCGGAGGAAGGUGGGGACGACGUCAAAUCAUCAUGCCCCUUAUGUCUUGGGCUUCACGCAUGCUACAAUGGCCGGUACAAAGGGUUGCGAUACUGUGAGGUGGAGCUAAUCCCAAAAAGCCGGUCUCAGUUCGGAUUGGGGUCUGCAACUCGACCCCAUGAA